Gallus gallus (chicken) is the source of this 6531-nucleotide long non-coding RNA. RefSeq lists it as uncharacterized. The transcript is spliced from 3 exons. The record is from RefSeq and is a predicted model, not a curated record. Lineage: Eukaryota; Metazoa; Chordata; Aves; Galliformes; Phasianidae.
AAAGAACCAAGACAAAGUAACAGUAAUCACUGCCCUGACUAAUCACUUCUAACUCUUCCUCUCUGAUUUUGGAUCAAGUAAGAUGACAUGAUGACACUGACUCCUACAUAUCUUCCUGAAUGACACAGCAUCUUACCAUGCCCUAUAGUUUAUUUCCAGGCAACAGAAAAUUAGUCAGAUAAAGUGUCCCUUGAAUUGUUUGUAGCAUGAUGCUAAACCUGUGAAAUAUCUUUCCUCAUUAACAUACAGACUGUUUGCUUUGAUAGCAACAGUUCAUACUGCUACAAAGGAAAAGCUAAGAGGGUGGGAAAGAUUUGAAACAUUCCUAAGUGAAAUCUGAAGGAUUUUAGCAGGGUUCUUCCCCUCACUGAAAGGUAAGGAAAUCUUGCAAGAAGAGAUUUGUCAUGUAUCAGGAGAGGGAAUGUAACACCCAGCUUUUCCUCCAGAUUUUUUUCCUUGUUUAUAACCACCAUGGCUUACUUCCCAUGAAUGCACUGAUUUUUACUCUUUUUUGUCUGAACAAUUCUCAGGCUGCAAACUCCCUUUGCUGAAACUCUGCACUCAAGCCCUGUACUGAAACUGCAUCUGUUUGGUUUUCCCUUGUGCUGAGCAGCACUGAUGUUUUUAGGUUUCUGACAUACUUUUCAAGCACAACCCAUUUCCCUUUCUCAAAACUGGGAUAUAAAUGUUGUAUCACCUGAGCUGUGUGAAUAUAGCUGACCUUCUCUAGGUACCUUACCAGCAUUACUAUACUAUCUCUCAGAGUCCUGGGUUGUUGUGUAGUCCUAUUUCAAGUCUGACUCUCAACAACACAAGAGGGCUGAUGCAUGGUUGUUUUGAUGGGUUUUUUUUGGUUGUUGUUUUGUUUUUGGUGGGGUUUUUUUUCAGACUAUGGAUGAACUUCAAAAAUAAAUAGAAUAAAUACUCUUCACUUAAAUAUUACAAUCCAUCAAGAAGAAAAAUUUCUCAGUUUAUUACUUCUCCCAGCUCCACUAGCUGGAAACACUUCUCAACAUUUUACGUUGAGGUUGAUGAGCUAGAGUUUAAUCAGAGAAUAUCCCAAGUUGGAAGGUAUGCACACGCACACACAAAAAAAGACAGGAUCUGCCUUUAUUUCUUCUUCUUAAACAGAUUUUUGUUCUGGUUAUGCUUUCCCCCACCUUUUACUAAAUAGAUGGAAGAACUUUCCUUUCAUGAAAGCAAAAUCUUUUUGUCAUGAGUCUGAUAAGAUUAUCAUGUGUCCAAAAUACAGACAUCCAGGUGGUGUGCAGUUUUGCCUGCAUUUGCCUGUUAGAGUUUAUUUCUAAAGGACAGCAGUGUGCUAACUGCAAAAUCUCCUAAGCAUUUUGUCCUAGUACAGAAGUAUGCCUAAGAAAAGCACAGAAUCAUUUAACACUAACACACUAUAUCAAAGGUUGUUUCUUCAUUUUUACUUGCAUUUUAAAUGGAAAAUGAAGAAACAGCCUAGAUGCUGUAAUCCCACAGUUAUCAUUCUUGAUGCAGUCAGUUUAACCUGUUAAGAAUAAAAAUAACAUACAGAUGCAUAUUGGUCACACAGGUCUCUGGUAUGAUUGUUGCCACCAGCAGAUCAAAUUUCAUCUGAGUUUAUUUUCUUGCAUCUGCAACAGGCCUUUACUUUCGCUGCAAUACACUUAGCACGCAAACUAAAAUGAGUAAAAGACUGAAGCCAAGGAGAGACACUACUAGAGAGUCUGCAUAAAGAUUUUAUAUUAUGUUCACAAAACAUGAAACACUAAUAUGAAAUCAGCUUCAUCACUUUGGACUCCAGAUGGCACCAUCAAUUAAAAGCAAACAAACAUAAUAAAAAACUGUAGAACUGUUCAUCUCUGCCUGUAACUAUAAGGACCAUGACUGGAGUCAGAAAACAACUGGGAAAAAAAAAAAAAAAGUGGAUAGAGGUAAUGGGCAGACUGGAUUUAAGAUGAAAAGGAAUUAAACACGACUGAAAUGCUUUUAAAAGAAAGCACUUUUUUUGUUUGUUUGUUUGUUUUUUUUGUUUGUUUUGCUUUUAAUUAAUCACUGCUCAAAGAACAAAUUAACAAUUCACGGUGUGGAAGACAGUUUACUCAUCUCAAUUCAGCAGCCCACAGUAAGCUUGCCCCAGAUGGGAGAGCCAGGAGCCAUGGCACACUCACUAAUUCCAUAAGAGGCAGCUCCUUGUAACUUGGCUUCCACCCUAUUCCUAACCCAUCAGAGAGGUGUAUCAGCAUUACCUGCCUCAGCGUUAAGGAAGAAAUCAGUAAUAUCUUGCUUCUUGAGAAGGAAAUUCAGCAGGAGUCAGGAGACAAUGAGAAUACAAAACCUCUAAUUUAGAAAAGAAAAACCAAAUUUAACACUUAAAUGAAGUUGCCAAUGCUAGCCUGGAGGCCAAACCCUCCAAGUGCUUUGAUCAGUGUUGUAAGGGAUUGAAUACAUGCGAGAUUAGCUGACAGUGGAACUAUGCUGAAAAUUAAGACAGGGUAAAGGAUAUUCCAUUUGAUAAUUCCCUGAUUAUAAAGAGACUGGCACAUAUAUGCAGGUACAUACACAAAGUACAAAGAUAAAGAGACACUGAGAGGAGUUCAAGAAUAUUGAAUGAUUCCUGCCAAUGUGAACCAUUCUUUGUUCUCUGAGACCUGGAAGAUUAUCUAUUAGACAAAGCCUGUCAGCCUCUCAUUGGAAGAGGUGUUGUUAACAAUAUUGUUACCAAAAUUAAAAAAUAAACCAUUUAUCGGAGUUUUGCACAAACAAACUAUGAAGACAGUAAGGACUGACCCUACAAACAAACAACAUUUUUUCACAAUAAUUAACCAUGACCUAACCCAAUAUUGUGUUUAACUACAUCCAAAUGAAAACCUAAACAAAAAUUAAUGUUAAAAACAUUAAACUGAAUGUACAACCUUUCUUUCAUUGUAGAACUAAACAAGUUACAGUCCCAGACUCUCCUAUACACGUUAGGCAAGACCCGUUUUCAACACAUUUGUUCUUGAGAGAGUUACCAAGAUAACAGUGUAAGAAGUUUCAACAAAGCAGAACAGAAUUUCAGCUCUUCAGGAUGAUUCUAAAAUCCUUUUAUUUGUUUGUUUUUUUGUUUUUAGUGUAUCACACCAGAACUAAAAACAUUUAACUAGUAAUUCUGUCUAGGUAAGAAUGUUUGAGACUCAGAUUUAAUGUUAAGCAAAGUAACUGGUUGCUACAUGUCUGAAGAGCUAUUUUGCAUUUAGCCUGAGAUGCGGAAUAUACUGUUAAAAAGCCUUAGUAAAUUAUAGUAAACCAAGUAAAUAGCUGUGAAGUAAGCAGUUUAUAUUCCAAGUUCAUUUAAUCUCUGAAGAAAGCAGGCUGAAUAAAUAUAAGGCUUUGUUUUUGAUUUAUACAAAGAAGAAUCUCUUUAUGUAUAAACCCCUGAAUUGGCAUGUUUACUUCAAUUGUAAGUUGUGACAGGAAAGCAAAUCUUUUGUGGCUUUAAUCAGAAGCAUUAGGGCUUGAAGUCUGAACAACUGUUUACUAUUCCACUAUCUGAUAAAACUUCAGAACCCUAGGGAAACUAAUUGAAAGGAAAGACCUGAGACUUAGACAAGCCACUGCAAAUCUAAAACUAGUCAGUCAAGAUGGAAAUGAGAGUUUCAGUUUACCAAUAAAUCUCUAUCGGAACAGUGGUGUUACAAUUAAUGAACAUUAACGAAUAGAAGAACAUGAUAACCAUUUCAAAUCCCUUGAUUUGUAAGGCUAAAAACACAAUAGCAAUUGAAGGAAAACAGGUUUCAGGAUAAUUUUAGGUAGCAAUGAAUACUACAUCGUAAAGAAAAAGAAAGUGUGCCUGACUCUAAGUACUAGUUAAAUGAGUAACACCAGUCUGCUAAAUUGAGUUUUGAUGUAUUCAACUAGAUUUAAGUGGAAUCUUCAAGGUGUUGAGGCACUUAAAGUGUUAGGAAAAAAAGAUUUAUUAGACCCUUAUUCAGCAAAACAUUUAAGUAUCUAAUUUAAUCCUUCCCUAUUCAGCAAAGUACAUAUUCAUUUAUGUGCCUGGCAUUAUACAGACUAUUGUACAAAAAAGAGGGAAUUUUGAAAAAAAUGAUCCUUAAAAAGAAUCAAAUUAAAAACAGAAGUGGAAGUAAGCAUUCUUAUUUUAUUCAAACACAUUUCAGUUUUCUUAGAGUUCUUUAAAAUGUUGUGGCACUCCUUACAGUGCAUUGGACAAAAUAAGGAACCCCUUUAAAAAUGAAGAAUACAGAAGUAAUGCUAAACUUUGGUAUAUUAAGCAUGCAAACACUGUUCGGCAACCAAGUAAGAAUUCAAAAGAAAAGAGGAAAAAAAAAAAAAAAACAAACCAUAAGAAAUAGAUGUUUUUUUCCACAUACAUCAACAACAGAAAUCUUUCUGAAAAAAGUCUGUAAGGUCAACACCCAUACUCCAACAGAAACAUUUAGAGAAGAUAACACUAUUUCUGAGAAGCAGUAUUCUUCACAUACGGUCCCUGUGGCAGAGACAGAAGAGAUACUUGCACCAGAAUCAUUCUCUGUAGAGGGCUCAAAGGAUCUGUCUGAAACUGAAGUGACUACAAAUCGUUUGCUGAAUGUUUUGACAUUACGAAUAGCAUCAAGUCACAAGGACUAAGUGGUACUCAUCCAAGACUUCAAGAGCCAAAUUAUUCACAGAAGUAAAUAAUCUUUCAUUUAAAUCACUUCAGCAUCUAAGUAUUGGGGUUGGGGGGUGGAACAUGGUACCAAAUUUUAGAAAGAUGACAGGAGAGACUUGAGAAAUAGUGUCUGGAAGUCUGACAUCUGUAGAAAUCAUAAAAAAAAAAAACAAAAAACAAAAAAACAAAAAAACAAGAAAACCCUGAUAAUGGACAUCUGGAUAAAAAUAAUGUACUUUUAGAGAGUCAACAUUGCCUUCUAUUAAAGGAAAUUGCCCCUCAUAAACCUAAAGGAAGUCUCCAACAAUGUCACCUCUAUGCAGUUAAAGUGAUCCAGAUGAUAAAAGUCUUCAAGUACUUCAAAGAGGCUUUCAACAAAAUUCUCCAUCAAGGCUUUGAAGGAAACUAAGAAGCCAUAGCAUAAGAGGGAACGUCACAGAUAAAUGAUUGGUUAAAGAUAGGAAACAAAAUGUAGGAGUAAAUGAUCUGCCCUCAUGAAGAAAAGAGGUCACUAAUGGCAUUCUGCAGGAAUCUGUAUUGUGACUACUGAACAUUCAAAAGAGGAAAAGGGAAUGAGCACCUAUGCGACAGAAGUUCAACAUUAUGAAGUCAUUCAAAGCAUUAAGGACAAAGAGUAACUGCAAAGAACUGCAGAAAGACUUUAAGAUGGAGCAGCUGGGCACUAAAGCCAGAAAAAAACUCAAAGAGGAAAAGUGAUGCAUGUUGGGCUAUUAGCACUCAGGACAAAGACAUUGGGAGUUAUUAUACAUAGUUCCAUGAAAAUAUGAGCAGAGCAGCAGUCCAAAAGACAAGGCAAAUUUUAACCAUUUGUAUAACAACACAAAGAGAAAGCAGCCCAAGCAACCAGGGUAAUACACUAUUCCUUGAUAUCUUGAAUAUUGUGUAUAGUUCUGGUCCUCCCAUCUCAAGGAAUAAAAAUUGACCUUGAAAAGGUUCAGAGGAGAGCAUUAAGCAUUAUUAAAUCUAUGAAAAGUCUUCCUCAUGAGGAAUGAUCAAAUAACUGAAGGCUCUUGAGCCUGGUAAGGAGAAGACUAAGAGAGGAUACAACACAAGUCUGUAACUGUGAUUGGUGUUGAGGUGGCUUUGUAUCAAUUUGUUCACUGAUAUUUAUUUAUUUGUUUGUUUGUUUGUUGUAUGAGAACUAGAUGGCAUCAAGUAGAUAACCAGGAUUCAGGUUCCAACCUACAUCAUUCUAAUAUUAAUGCAAUAUGUCAUUAGGAUAUAUAACUCCUUGCCAAAGAACAUCAUUAAUGCCAGAAGUUUAUAUGGGUUCAGUAAGAGUCUGGAUGAACCUGCAGAAGAGAAAUCCUAUAUUAAUCAGGGAUUACACUUGGUUAACUAAGUAUCCAAAGCAAAAACAAUUGAAACCAGAGUACUUGUUGUCAAACUCAACUAUGAGAGGUGCCUUGUCUUUCUUUUCUCCAAGCAUCUAUUCACAGAUACUCUGGAAAAUGUCCUUAUGGGGUCCUAAUCUCCAGUGACAUGUAACCUGCCUGACACUUUCUCAGACUGUGAUCUGUGUUCAGUGUACACAACCUUCUGGGGGGCUACUGGAGGGAAAUCUACUGUAUCCCUGUUCCCCGUUGACCAGAAGCCUGGCCUGGCCUUCAGCACAUGCCAGAGGGCACCUACUCCUAUACUUAUACUGCUUUCUGGACUGACCUGUAACUGGAAUCCUAAACAAAGCCCUAGACCUGACACCAAUGCAAGAAGGUAUGACAACAAAUGGAACAGACAUCCUGUGUUACCAGAGAUAAUGACAUCCCUUUAUUUCUUUAAUAAUGACAUAAUAAAAAUCAUUAUCCUUUGAUAAUAAUUGUCUCUGUUUUCUGCUACAUACAGAAAUAUUCAGGGAACUAGAACAGGAUGAAGAA